AGGAUGAACGCUAGCGGCAGGCCUAAUACAUGCAAGUCGAACGAUACCAGAGAGCUUGCUUUCUGGGAAAGUGGCGCACGGGUGCGUAACGCGUAUGCAACCUACCUUAAUCAGGGGGAUAGCCUCUCGAAAGAGAGAUUAACACCGCAUAAAAUCACAAGCUGGCAUCAGCAAAUGAUACAAAUAUUUAUAGGAUUAAGAUGGGCAUGCGUGACUAUUAGUUUGUUGGUGAGGUAACGGCUCACCAAGACUACGAUGUCGUAGGGAUCGUGAGAGGACUCCGACCCCCACACGUGGUACUGAGACACGGACAGACCUCCGUACGGGAGACAGCGAGUAAGAAUUAGUUGGUAC
RNAcentral lists this ribosomal RNA (354 nucleotides) under uncultured soil bacterium. RNAcentral describes it as "bacterial SSU rRNA". It matches the Rfam family "Bacterial small subunit ribosomal RNA", at positions 26 to 371 of the family's 1533-position model. The record is from RNAcentral.